RNAcentral lists this long non-coding RNA (228 nucleotides) under Carica papaya (papaya). Its description in RNAcentral is "long non-coding RNA (CPAP_LNC006090)". The record is from RNAcentral. Lineage: Eukaryota; Viridiplantae; Streptophyta; Magnoliopsida; Brassicales; Caricaceae.
GUGGGUCGAGUAGCCUACUUAAGUUGCCAUCAAUGCCUUGCAUCACCUACGAAAAUAUACGUGACAAGGACAACAUUCUGUUCAGGAACCAUCUCAAGGGUCGCGAAGGCCUUCUCUAUCUUUUGAUUGGUCUUUCUCUUUAGGGUUGAUAUCCAUACUCACAUUAUCCCUUCCCCCUUCAAAAACGAUUCGUCCUUAAAUCAAACACUUCUUAUGCAAGGAUUUCAC